RNAcentral lists this ribosomal RNA (427 nucleotides) under uncultured bacterium. RNAcentral's name for it is "bacterial SSU rRNA". It matches the Rfam family "Bacterial small subunit ribosomal RNA", at positions 355 to 774 of the family's 1533-position model. The record is from RNAcentral.
UGGGGAAUAUUGGACAAUGGGGGCAACCCUGAUCCAGCAAUGCCGCGUGUGUGAAGAAGGCCUUCGGGUUGUAAAGCACUUUUAUCGGGAACGAAACAUUGUCGGCCAAUACCCGGCAAGACUGACGGUACCCGAGGAAUAAGCACCGGCUAACUCCGUGCCAGCAGCCGCGGUAAUACGGAGGGUGCAAGCGUUAAUCGGAAUUACUGGGCGUAAAGCGUGCGCAGGCGGUUUGUUAAGUCUGCUGUGAAAUCCCCGAGCUCAACUUGGGAAUUGCAGUGGAUACUGGCAAGCUGGAGUACGGUAGAGGAUGGUGGAAUUCCCGGUGUAGCAGUGAAAUGCGUAGAGAUCGGGAGGAACACCAGUGGCGAAGGCGGCCUUCUGGACCAGUACUGACGCUCAUGCACGAAAGCGUGGGGAGCAAACA